Molecule: small nuclear RNA, 118 nt
Filed under: Fukomys damarensis (Damara mole-rat)
Lineage: Eukaryota; Metazoa; Chordata; Mammalia; Rodentia; Bathyergidae
Description: U4 spliceosomal RNA
Rfam family: U4 spliceosomal RNA
About the family: U4 small nuclear RNA (U4 snRNA) is a component of the major U2-dependent spliceosome.
Source: Rfam by way of RNAcentral
AGCUUUGAGCAGUGGCAGUAUCGUAGCCAAUGAGGCACGAUUAUUGCUAAUUGAAAAGGAAGUAAAAGACCAUUACAUUGAAAAGUACAGUGCUCUAAGAAAGGAGAUUGAAGACAAU